UAAGCGGUUGAAGGUGUGUGGUAACGCAUGCUGGACGUAUCAGAAGUGCGAAUGCUGACAUGAGUAACGAUAAAGGGGGUGAAAAACCUCCUCGCCGGAAGACCAAGGGUUCCUGUCCAACGUUAAUCGGGGCAGGGUAAGUCGACCCCUAAGGCGAGGCCGAAAGGCGUAGUCGAUGGGAAACGGGUUAAUAUUCCCGUACUUCUUACAAUUGCGAUGGGGGGACGGAGAAGGCUAGGUGGGCCUGGCGACGGUUGUC
This 259-nucleotide ribosomal RNA is filed under the name Vibrio parahaemolyticus. RNAcentral's name for it is "partial 23S ribosomal RNA". It matches the Rfam family "Bacterial large subunit ribosomal RNA", at positions 1243 to 1506 of the family's 2925-position model. The record is from RNAcentral. Lineage: Bacteria; Pseudomonadati; Pseudomonadota; Gammaproteobacteria; Vibrionales; Vibrionaceae.